CCUACGGGAGGCAGCAGUGAGGAAUAUUGGUCAAUGGGCGAGAGCCUGAACCAGCCAAGUCGCGUGAGGGAGUACUGCCCUAUGGGUUGUAAACCUCUUUUGUCGGGGAGCAAAAGCCGGACGUGUCCGGCUGUGAGAGUACCCGAAGAAAAAGCAUCGGCUAACUACGUGCCAGCAGCAGCGGUAAUACGGGGGAUGCGCGCGUUAUCCGGAUUUGUUGGGUUUAAAGGGUGAGCAGGCGGAUUUUUAAGUCAGCGGUCAAAUCGUGGGGCUCAACCCCAUCCAGCCGUUGAACAUGGGGAUCUAGAGUGUGCGAGAGGUAUGCGGAAUGCGUGGUGUAGCGGUGAAAUGCAUAGAUAUCACGCAGAACCCCGAUUGCGAAGGCAGCAUACCGGUGCACAACUGACGCUCAGGCACGAAAGCGUGGGUAUCGAACAGGAUUAGAUACCCCAGUAGUC
RNAcentral lists this ribosomal RNA (458 nucleotides) under uncultured bacterium. Its description in RNAcentral is "partial 16S ribosomal RNA". It matches the Rfam family "Bacterial small subunit ribosomal RNA", at positions 338 to 795 of the family's 1533-position model. The record is from RNAcentral.